ACGGGAAUCCGGGAUCCGAAGCCGGAGCGGCCCCGCCACUGUGACCGGGACGAAACCGCACGGAUGCCACUGGGGUCCCCCCCCGGGAAGGCGCGGGAGUAGGAGGAACGGGAGCCAGGAGACCG
RNAcentral lists this non-coding RNA (125 nucleotides) under Aminomonas paucivorans. The record is from RNAcentral. Lineage: Bacteria; Thermotogati; Synergistota; Synergistia; Synergistales; Synergistaceae.